GGCUCAAGCUCACCUCUCAACCCCUACUUUUCGUUUCUCUUAUCUUUUUGGGAAUCUGGGGUCUCUUCUCACUUCUCUGUUUCUUUCCUUUUUUUUUUUUCAUCAUCAAAUUUUGAGAAAGCUCUGAGCUUGAAAGAAGCUAAUUAGUCUAUGUAAUAUGUAGUGUGGUAUAAUGUAGAGAUCUGGAAGAAUUCCAUGGUGCGUUUCGGUAAAGCAAAGAUGGAACAGAUCUGGUUUCAGCCAAAGCCGAGAAGGGUUCAUAGGAGGGUAUGGUUAAGGAUCCAAAAAUCAAUGGGUGUCCUCGUGGGUGGGAAUCACACUUCUUCCAGGUUUUGCACUCGCUAAUUCUCUUCUUUUCUUUAGUUUGGCUUUAACCUCUCUCUGUCAAAAGACAAGUUUUUUUUUUUCGACAAUUUCUUCGAAACCCACUGUUUGAAAUCCUCCUGUUUGAUCAAAUCAUUGAUAUUUUGGUGUCAAUUUCGUUCCUAAGAGUGAAAAUCCAUGGAUUUUAAGUCCUUGAGAAUCCAGAUCCUGAGUGGGUCAAUAGCCAGGCGCUUGCUGUUACGUGCAUUUAUGCUUGCCUCGGCUUUUUCUGUCAUUCCUUUCAUCCAAAUCCUUUCUGGGUCUGAUCCUGUAUUGCUCGAUUCUGUGAACUUCCACGAAUGUGAUUCGCUUUUUGCGGGCACGAAUUUGUUUCAGAAUCGGUUUUUGAAACCCAUUUGGAACUCAUUUGAGUGCAAGGAAGAUGUUAAUUUGACCAUGGAUGUUGUUACAGCGCUAAUGGUUAAGCAACUGUUGGAUUACGGUUCAAAUGCUCUCUAUGUUGGUGAAGGAUCGGCCUCUGCCGUGUAUGCAUUGCGAGAGUUGGGAUUUUCCAAUGCUUGUGGGGUGCACCGACACCCCUUUUUCUCGAUUAAGCAUAGAAAGCUCGUUUAUGAGCUUCAAUUUGCAGACAAUUUCUUUGAUUUUGUGUUAUCUAGGGACUUAGAUGAAGUUUCGGUCCCUGCAGUUCUUGUGCUCGAGAUCGAGCGUGUUCUGAAGCCCGGUGGAAUUGGGGCUAUGCUGGUGGGUGUUGGUGGUUUGAACCCUAAUGGCUUGAUUAGGUCUGCUACACCCGUUUCAUCAUUAUUGAAAUCCUCCAAUGUGGUACAUGUUGGUUAUGUUCAUGAGUAUACAUUGGUGGUUUUCCAGAAAAGAUUUGAAAAAGUUGGCUUCUUUGAGCAAUUCCGUCUACCAGCUGAUUGCCAAUCUUUUUCGAAUAACAAACACUUUAUGGAACAUCUAGAGCCCCUUGUGGAGAACAAGGAAAUGGGAUUUGAGAAAAAGAUUGCAUUUUUGCCCAAUUUCAUUCAUGUGCUUUCAAGGAAGAAGUUGGUGUAUAUUGAAAUUGGGGCAGCAGAACGUCUGAACUCUAGUGUUGCUAAUUGGUUCAUUCCAUUUUAUCCUGUGGAUCACAAGGCUUUCGAUAUUUAUUUUGUUGAUCAUAACACUUCAGUUUUGCUUUCUUGUGUUAAAAAGCCUGGUGUUACCUUCAUUUACUAUCCUGGCCUUGCUGGAGACAAGAUUACCGCUUCGAUUUCUGAUGUUGAAGAUCUAGAUCCAUCUGUGGAAGAUGAGGGAUUUGAUUUCCUUUCUUGGUUUAGAGAAACAGUGGAGUAUGCAGAUUUUGUUGUUCUAAAGAUGAAAGCAGGGGAGGCAGAAUUGAAAUUCCUCACAGACUUGUAUGAAAGUGGAGCCAUUUGCUUUGUUGACGAGCUGUUCCUUAGCUGCGCAGAUCAUGUAGAUGACAAUGGUGUGAUGAGCAAGGACUGCAUGGAUCUCCUUAAAAGCCUUAGAAGCAGUGGCAUGUAUGUCCACCAAUGGUGGGGAGAUUAAUCCCCAAUUAAUUUAUGAGGAACUGUGUCUUGUUACUUUGAACUGUGUUUGUUGUUGUUGUUGUUGUUUUUGUUGUUGUUGUUGUUGUUGUUCUGUCUAAAUAAUAUCUGUGGAUGUGUGGCCUCCCAAGGCUUCUUUCAAUUUGCAUUUUAUGUGAAACAGGAGUACCUUCUUUGGUUUAUGAUUGUUGCUUUGAUUAUUUUCAUGUGCUUAAGUUGAAAGCCUGCUACUAUAAUGCUUGCUGUAAGUAGAAGUUUAGUACUGGAGAGGGGGCCUCAGGUGCACAAAUUCCCAGGUACCUAAAUGGCGAAUUUUGUUAUAGCCUUUGAUUAUGUUAGGUCCCAUUAUAAUCAACGCUCAAAAUUUAU
RNAcentral lists this unclassified non-coding RNA (2243 nucleotides) under Hevea brasiliensis (rubber tree). The record is from RNAcentral. Lineage: Eukaryota; Viridiplantae; Streptophyta; Magnoliopsida; Malpighiales; Euphorbiaceae.